AUCAAAAUACUAUUUACAACGAAUCAUCAAGUUGAAAUUAUUAGCCCUGACAGGAAAAACUGUAUAUUUACGACAAACGUUUCUUAAGGACCAAACCUGCUUAUAGUGUUUAGUCGGAAAUGAAAUACCAUACUUUCAUAUACGGUAAUACGAAUACAAUCUACAAAUCACAAAGGAUAUUGAAAGGAUAGGGCUAAGGACCCCAUGUAAAGCUUCAUUUUAUGCGACUGAUUGAUUUAAUUUUAGCCGAGUUUUAGGAAUUCAAACAAAACUCAAGCCAAUUGCUCAGGCCAGUCAUAAAUCUCCUACUAGGUGGAGGGUUUGAUUCUUCGCGCUUGUUAGUAAGAUAAGAUUCUAUGAAUAUAAAAUUCAUUUUUAUUAAUGAAAACAAGCAAAUUUACUAUGAAGGCUUUACGUUUCGUUACUAUUGGUAGUAGUCACAUUUUUGAGUUGCACGAGCGAAGCAUCUUUGGUCUUCAAAUACUCGAAAAUGCCGAAACAACAAUCUUCCAAGGACAACAAUAGAAAUACCAGAAUGAUUAUUACAUUAGAAAAUAUAACAGCAUAUUU
This is a non-coding RNA of Schizosaccharomyces pombe (fission yeast), 570 nucleotides long. The record is from the annotation of a GenBank genome assembly. Lineage: Eukaryota; Fungi; Ascomycota; Schizosaccharomycetes; Schizosaccharomycetales; Schizosaccharomycetaceae.